This 5421-nucleotide long non-coding RNA is filed under the name Solanum tuberosum (potato). RNAcentral's name for it is "long non-coding RNA (STUB_LNC002005)". Lineage: Eukaryota; Viridiplantae; Streptophyta; Magnoliopsida; Solanales; Solanaceae. The record is from RNAcentral.
AAUUCAGUGGUACAAGUUAGUAAGGAUGUUAUGUGUUUAGCAUUUGUGAAACAAGAUGAAGAAAGGGAACCAUCAAUUGUUAUAGGAGGACAUCAAUUGGAAGAGAACCUAUUGAUAUUUGACCUUCCUGGAAAGAAGAUUGGUUUCAGCUCAUCACUUAAACUUCAACAAACAUCAUGCUCUCAGUACGACAAUACCAUUCUAGGCUAAGCCCCUCUAUUCUAUAUAUGUAAUUUUCUAUUUCAAUAAUAAACUAGAUGGUCGGUGCCCGUGCAUUGCAUAGGCGUAUGACUUAUAUCGUUUUAUAUGUUAUUCUUCAUAAUUUCCUAUUUGGAUAAUAAAUUAGAUGUUCUAACUUCUAUAUACAAUUGAUAAACCAAUGUACGAGAUCUAUCAUUUUGCUGACUCAAAGAGUUGAUAGUAUAGUCAUGCAGUCCAUGGAUCGAUCCUCUAACCGGCUAUAUAUUUAGAUUACCAUUAGAGCCGUCAAUAUGGGCUAGGCUCGUUGGACUGGCUUGACCUAGUCUGUGAUUUGAUAGGGCUGAACUACGAGUUUUGGAGCCCAUUUAAGAAAAGAGUUUUUUAGCCCGGUCUGAAUAAGUCUGUCGAUUUGUGGAGCUUGAGAAAUAUGGAUAGAGCCGGUCCAUGGGCCAAAUAAAAAUUAAUUAAAAAAUAAUAAUAAGAUAGAGUAUUAAAAAUAACAAGAGUCUAAACUCAAAUCUGUUUAAAGUUUGAAAUAUUACAAUUUAAAAUCGGUCAUAGUUUUUGUGUUUUAUUACGAUCAUUGGAAAACAAUUAGGUUAUAUUUCUAUUUAGCUAUUUAUACUUUUACUUGAAAUCAAACUUAAUAAAUAUUAUAAAGAUAAUUUUAUUUGUGUAUUUAAUUAACAAAUAGUAACACUAACACCAUGUAAUAUUGUCUUGUCGAUAUUUAUGAUAAUAAAAAUUAUAAAAAAUAUACUUUUAAGAAAAAAGGGUUGGCCCGGCAAAGCCCGUAGCCCACGCACUUGUGGGAGCCUAUAGCCCACAUACUUAUGGGCUGAGCCGACAAUUUUCUAGCCCACACAAAAAAUGGGCUAGUCCGGCUUGGCCCGUCAAAUUUCAAAGCCUGUAUGGGUUAGCCCGGAUGGGGUGGGCCAACCCAUAUUGACAGCUCUAAUUACCAUCAUGACUACAUCUAGAGCCGUCAAAAUAGGUUUAGCCCAUGGGAUCGGUCCAAUCCAACUCGUUAUUGGGGUACGGUUGAGAUAGAUUUUUUCAAGCCCAUUUAAAAUUAGGGCUUAUGAUCCUUUAGCCCUUAAGGCUUGAUCAGGGCCGAGUUGGGGUCGGCCCAUGGGCCAAAACUAUUUAUUUAAGAGUAACUUACAUAAAUUUCUCUAGUGUAUGAGCUGAUUACUUAAAGGUACGUUAUGUUGUAAUAUUACGAAUCUUAUCAGAUUUUGGUAUGUCCAAAUACAUGUAUCUCGGGAUACAUGGACUCAAAAUUAGGUUAAUUUGUUCUAGAUACACUCUAUCUAGGAUACAUAGAUAAAUCUCGCACCCUCGCCACUCUCUAAUCUCACUCGCGUAUCUGGGGUGCAUCACACCAGAUACUGAGAUACAUAUAUCUAGUAUCCAAGAUACAUGCUAAUCACACUAUACUUUUUGCCAGUGUUAUUAAAACAACACCAUUAUUUGCCAUAUUUGAUUUGAAAAUCUUCUCAUCUUCUUGAUGUUAUACAAUUUUAAGUUUGAAAAGAUAAAAAACAAAAAAAGAAGGGCUAGCCCACCCCAGCAAGAAUAAUCUAACUGAUUUGUUCCACAGAACAUAUCAUACUUUCCUUAUCUCACGUUCUAUCUCUAAUUUUGUUAUAAUCUCAAAUUCCAUUAGCAAUUAUCCAUUUACCUAUUGGUAGCUAAGCAAGUAAGCAACAGAGAAAUAAGCAUAGUAUUAAGAGGAGAAAACUUUGACCGUAAAAGUCCGCAAUAACAACCAAUAUAUCAAAUUAUACAACGUUCAUAGUAUGGUCAUAACCCCCUAAAAAGGACUUUUAGUCAUUUAAUAUCUGAUUACAAAGCAAUAAUUCAAAUAAGAAAAAAGAAAUGAAGUAAGUAAAAAGCAAGAAAGUAAAUCCUAGAUAAUUUGCUCUUUGUUAUUGCUCUGUGCCUCAACAUUCAACAAUAUUUAUCUCCCUUUAAAAAUGAUUAAGGAUGAGCAUUUAUAAUAUUUAAUAAAAACAUCUAGAAGGGUCCUCCAAGUCGAUCUAUUCAAUCCAUUUCUCCUUUAAACCAUGUUACAUAUUUAAUCAUAAUUUUUUUAUUGAUAAACAAGAUCUGCACACAUUUUGUUACCGCACACAGAUACAAAAUAGUCUUUUUUUGUUUUUAUAAUCUAUUUUCACAAAUCAGGUAGCUAGUCCCAGUACAUCAAUACUGGUGGUGGUUAAUUAACUGCAUUUACCUUUUGAGCCAACAGACUAAAAAAAACCUCCCACUAUUCUUGUUUAAAAGGAUAUUUUGAAAAACUUAAAAUUUAAUUUGGUACAUAGUUAACUCUACUACUUUCAAUAACUAUUAAGUACUAUAAGUUUUGAACCCAUAAUAACACAAAUGCGAUGAAAAUAUAAACAUUCAACGACCACCACAUGAUGGGCGGCCUCCUUCCUUAAUCAAAGGUUUCGGUUCGAGCCCUGAUAUAAAAAAAUCUUUACCCCACCACUUAGUCCCGAAUGAAGCCCUAUACAAUGUAAAUUCGAAAUAGUCAGAUUUCAACGUCGAUAAAAAAAUAAAAUAUUCAACGCAUUAAUUAAAUUCACGUUUGAAAAUUGAGAUUAGAUGUCAACAUCAAGAAUCUCAAAUACGCGUAUAAAUCUGUCCAUGUGCAUGAGAUAACUCCAUGCUGACUAGAUUUUAUUCAAAGUCAAAGUUUUGACUUGUGAUCAUAUACUCUCUCCUGUACAUUUUACUUUCUUUUGCACACAGAAAAACAUGAAUUAAAAGCUACUCCCUGUCCCAAUUUAUGUGACCUACUUAUAAAAAAAAUAACAUAUUUUUAUAUUAAGUAAUAAUUUAACUAUAAAUGUCUAUUUUACCCUUAAUGAAAUGAUUUACAACCACACAAAUUUUUAUCAUUCAUUUUGGAUCACAAAUUUUAAAAGUCUUUCUUUCUUUCUUAAACUCCAUGCCGAGCCAAACUACCUCACAUAAAAUGGGACGGAGAGGGAGUAAUAUAAUUUAAUUAUUUUUAUUUAAUUUUAUUUUGAUCUAUUACUACUUUUUUUAAUCAUAAUAAUUUCUCUUUAUAUUUAUUGAGUAAUUAUCAAAUUAAAUUUUUUGUUAUUAAUUUUAUUUUGAUUUUCUUGAUCGGACUAUUUUUGAUAAACACGGCAUCUAAUAUGGACCAGAAAGAGUAAGAAAUACGGAACCAUUAUACAGCUUCACUAAAUGUCAACGGAAAUAAACAAAAGAAUCCAUAUAGACUAUAGUUGUCUAAGCUUAUUCUCUUACUAUAAAUUUGCAACUCCAUACUUAGAAUUUCUCAUUGGUCUAAUAAUCCAUUUACUUUUUUGUCUUUCUUUGUUUAGCAUGGUGACAUUCAAACUUCCUUUAUCUAUGCUUCUUUUAUUCCUUCUACUCAAUAUUUUUCUAUGCUCAUCUGAAGUACUAUACAUUCCAGUCACUAAAGAUGCAUCAACCCUAGAAUACAUUAUAGAAGUAGGUCAAAGAACUCCUUUAAUCCCCAUAAAACUCUUAAUCAAUCUUGGUGGUAGAAGCUUAUGGGUGGAUUGUGACAAAGGUUACAAAAGUUCAACUUACAAACCAGCAGUAUGUAAUUCCACACAAUGCACUUUUGCCAAAUCUCAUGCCUGUGGAGAUUGCAUAUUCAAACCUCAAGUGCAGCCUGGAUGUAGCAACAAUACUUGUUACAUUUGGGGUGAAAAUCCAUUGAUCAAUUCGUUUCACGAUCGCGCUGAAAUUGCUGAGGAUGUAUUGGCUAUUGGUUCUACUCCUGGUGUUCGUGUAACUUGGCCGCGGUUUAUUUUCUCUUGCCUUCUUGAUCAAGAUAUGAUGAGACAAUUCGCGAAUGGAGUCACAGGUAUUGAAUCAUAUAUUGUGUGAAUGCCUUAGUUUAAAAUUUAAAAUUGUCACAUAUAAUUGGUUAAUUGUUAAAUUAAAUUUAUAUGUAUGUAUUUUUAUCUUCUUCUUUUUUUUGUUAUAUUACACAUUAUUGAAUGAACCUUAGAAGUACAAAAAGGAGGCUGUAGGAGCCAUCACCUACCUUGCUCCAUUCAUAACAUAGAUGGUAGGAUUUUAAAUAAAGCUCACAAAAAAUUUAAGGGAUAGACCCAAUAGACAAUAGAAGUCACAAUAGGACCCACCUAAUUCCUUUUGACUUUAAAAUAUAUAACUCAGAGUGUUACAUAGUGAACAAAUUAAAGAAAAUGUCACAUGCAAAGUUUUGUCAUUUUAAUAGAGUAUUUAUUUUUUCUUCUCCUCCUUAGGUAGGUAAGGGGUUUAAUUGCACCAUAAACAAGUGUAGAGCGUAAGAAGUCAACCAUACAAUUUUUAACCCAAUUUGAGAAAGUACAAUUUUAAAUUAUUGAAUUGUAUUAUUUCUUAACAGGAGUUGCAGGUUUUGGACGUGAAAGUCCAGUUUCCAUUCCCAAUCAACUUGCUUUAGACUCUAGAUUCACCAAGAAAUUUGGUAUAUGUUUGAGCUCAUCUACAAAAUCUCGUGGGGUUAUUUUCAUCGGUUCUGGUCCAUAUUAUGUUUACAAUCCUAAGAAAAUCGAUAUCUCCAACGAUAUUCUCUACACCAAAUUAAUCGCAAAUACAAGGGGAGGAUUUGUGACUUCUGAAGAGUAUUAUAUCCAAGUUUCAUCCAUUCGAAUCGCGGGGCAAGACGUUCCACUAAAUAAAACAUUGUUAUCUAUUAAUAAGAAAAAUGGAGUUGCUGGGACGAGAAUAAGUACAGCUACACCUUUCACAAUUUUACACACUACCAUAUAUGAUGCUUUUAAAACUGCUUUCAUCAAGGCACUUCCAAAGAAUGUGACAAUUGUAGAGCCUCCUAUGAAACAAUUUGGACUUUGCUUUAGUUCGAAAAACAUUAAAAGCACCAACGUUGGACCAGAUGUUCCUGUGAUAGAUUUUGUGUUGCAUAAGCCUAGUGCAUUUUGGAGGAUUUAUGGGACAAAUUCAGUGGUACAAGUUAAUAAGGAUGUGAUGUGUUUAGCAUUUGUGGGACAAGACCAAACAUGGGAACCAUCGAUUGUGAUUGGAGGACAUCAAAUGGAAGAGAACCUAUUGAUAUUUGACCUUGUAGGAAGGAAUAUAGGUUUCAGCUCAUCACUCAAGCUUCAACAAGCAUCAUGCUCUAAGUACGAUAAUACCAUUCUAGGCUAAUAUAAGUACCAUUCUAGUCAAUUAAUUAUGUAAUUU